RNAcentral lists this ribosomal RNA (245 nucleotides) under uncultured bacterium. Its description in RNAcentral is "partial 16S ribosomal RNA". It matches the Rfam family "Bacterial small subunit ribosomal RNA", at positions 524 to 768 of the family's 1533-position model. The record is from RNAcentral.
GACGAAGGUGGCUAGCGUUGUUCGGAAUCACUGGGCUUAAAGAGCAUGUAGGCGGCCUGUUAAGUGCCUUGUGAAAUCCCCCGGCUCAACCGGGGAGCUGCUUGGCAUACUGGCAGGAUCGAGGCAAGUAUGGGUGCAUGGAACUCUUGGUGGAGCGGUGAAAUGCGUAGAUAUCAAGAGGAACGCCGGCGGUGAAGACGAUGCACUGGGCUUGUCCUGACGCUGAGAUGCGAAAGCCAGGGGAG